Molecule: ribosomal RNA, 253 nt
Filed under: uncultured bacterium
Lineage: Bacteria
Description: partial 16S ribosomal RNA
Rfam family: Bacterial small subunit ribosomal RNA
Source: RNAcentral
UACGGAGGGCGCAAGCGUUGUUCGGAAUCAUUGGGCGUAAAGCGCGUGUAGGCGGUCUGGUCAGUCGGGUGUGAAAUACCGGAGCUCAACUCCGGAACUGCAUUUGAAACUGAAAGGCUAGAGUCCCGGUGAGGGAGGUGGAAUUCCCGGUGUAGAGGUGAAAUUCGUAGAUAUCGGGAGGAACGCCAGCGGCGAAGGCGGCCAUCUGGACGGUGACUGACGCUGAGACGCGAAAGCGUGGGGAGCAAACAGG